GGGAUAAUAGUUAAAAAAUAACAUUUGAUUUGCAUUCAAAAAUUAUUAUAAAUAAAUAAUCUAUCUUA
This 68-nucleotide transfer RNA is filed under the name Corynis sp. RNAcentral describes it as "tRNA-Ala". The record is from RNAcentral. Lineage: Eukaryota; Metazoa; Arthropoda; Insecta; Hymenoptera; Cimbicidae.